AGUGGCGGACGGGUGAGUAACGCGUAAGAAUCUAACUUCAGGACGGGGACAACAGUUGGAAACGACUGCUAAUACCCGAUGUGCCGCAAGGUGAAACCUAAUUGGCCUGGAGAAGAGCUUGCGUCUGAUUAGCUAGUUGGUGGGGUAAAGGCCUACCAAGGCGACGAUCAGUAGCUGGUCUGAGAGGAUGAGCAGCCACACUGGGACUGAGACACGGCCCAGACUCCUACGGGAGGCAGCAGCGGGGAAUUUUCCGCAAUGGGCGAAAGCCUGACGGAGCAACGCCGCGUGAGGGAGGAAGGUCUUUGGAUUGUAAACCUCUUUUCUCAAGGAAGAAGUUCUGACGGUACUUGAGGAAUCAGCCUCGGCUAACUCCGUGCCAGCAGCCGCGGUAAUACGGGGGAGGCAAGCGUUAUCCGGAAUUAUUGGGCGUAAAGCGUCCGCAGGUGGUCUUCCAAGUCUGCCGUCAAAUCAGGUUGCUUAACGACCUAAAGGCGGUGGAAACUGGCAGACUAGAGAGCAGUAGGGGUAGCAGGAAUUCCCAGUGUAGCGGUGAAAUGCGUAGAGAUUGGGAAGAACAUCGGUGGCGAAAGCGUGCUACUGGGCUGUAUCUGACACUCAGGGACGAAAGCUAGGGGAGCGAAAGGGAUUAGAUACCCCUGUAGUCCUAGCCGUAAACGAUGGAUACUAGGCGUGGCUU
Molecule: ribosomal RNA, 700 nt
Filed under: uncultured bacterium
Lineage: Bacteria
Description: bacterial SSU rRNA
Rfam family: Bacterial small subunit ribosomal RNA
Source: RNAcentral